AUGCUGGGAUGAGCAGAGAUGGGGUGUCAUGGGGCCAUCGACCAGUUGUUUGAUCUGAGAUAGUCGCAGAGUUCUCAGCGCCCACGGGGAGCACCACCGCGAAUGGGCUGCAGUGCCCAACCUGCUUCGCUCUGAACUCUGAUCCCUGCCACAGCCAAAUAACCCCUUGUACCGGGGAUGAGACCUAUUGCGUCGAUUUCGCUGGGUACCUAGAGAAAGGUACAGCUCCUUCAUAUCAAGCAACAUUUGUUGCAAAAGGUUGCGCUACUGCAUCUGCACAAAACAUUAAAAGUUUAACCACCUGGAUUUCUACCAUCUACACGUACGUGUUCACCCAGGCGACCUCCAAACCUGCGGAGAAAACACCCCCCAGUGGGGCCGGCCCGGCCCUGGGGCGAUUCUCCUUCGCCCUCUACCUGCCUGGCCUGACUGGGCUGCUGCUGGUGAAGCUGCUCUCCUGACCCCCGCCCAGCAUGGCCCACGCAGCACCUGAUUCCUGCGCGUUGCAGCCCGAGCUCGGAAUCGUAUGUUAAUUCUAUUGAUUACUUACAAAUUCCCAGUGCUCGCUGGGA
Mauremys reevesii (Reeves's turtle) is the source of this 572-nucleotide long non-coding RNA. RefSeq lists it as uncharacterized. The record is from RefSeq and is a predicted model, not a curated record. The transcript is spliced from 3 exons. Lineage: Eukaryota; Metazoa; Chordata; Testudines; Geoemydidae.